RNAcentral lists this long non-coding RNA (280 nucleotides) under Gossypium barbadense (sea-island cotton). RNAcentral describes it as "long non-coding RNA (GBAR_LNC006021)". Lineage: Eukaryota; Viridiplantae; Streptophyta; Magnoliopsida; Malvales; Malvaceae. The record is from RNAcentral.
CAAUUUAUAAUGAUUUUCUAAAAACAGAACAGGGGAUUUCGGAGUCAUUCUGACACCAUCUCACACAACUUUAAAUAUCUCAUUAUCGGAAAUUCCUUUGCUUACACGGUUUCUUUUAUAAGAAACUAGACUCAUUAAGCUUUAAUUUCAUGUCUCAUUCAGCCUCUAAUUCAAGUCCAUAAAUUUAUGGUGAUUUUCUAAAGUCACGUUACUGCUGCUGUCCGAAGCAGACUAUUUCAAAUUACCCUUAAAUUCCCAAGCUCAAACACUUAAGAACUUA